CCUACGGGAGGCAGCAGUGGGGAAUAUUGCGCAAUGGGCGAAAGCCUGACGCAGCGACGCCGCGUGAGGGAUGAAGGUCUUCGGAUCGUAAACCUCUGUCAGCAGGGAAGAACGGGCACUGUGCUAAUCAGCAGUGAAUUGACGGUACCUGCAAAGGAAGCACCGGCUAACUCCGUGCCAGCAGCCGCGGUAAUACGUAGGGUGCUAGCGUUAAUCGGAAUUACGGGGCGUAAAGCGCUCGUAGGCGGUAUGUCAAGUCAAGGGUGAAAUCCCCGGGCUCAACGUGGGAACUGCCUUUGAAACUGGCAAACUGGAGUGUGUGAGAGGAUAGUGGAAUUCCAGGUGUAGGAGGGAAAUCCGUAGAUAUCUGGAGGAAUAUCAGUGGCGAAGGCGACUAUCUGGCACAUAACUGACGCUGAGGAGCGAAAGCGUGGGUAGCAAACAGGAUUAGAUACCCGGGUAGUC
Molecule: ribosomal RNA, 465 nt
Filed under: uncultured bacterium
Lineage: Bacteria
Description: partial 16S ribosomal RNA
Rfam family: Bacterial small subunit ribosomal RNA
Source: RNAcentral